RNAcentral lists this ribosomal RNA (506 nucleotides) under uncultured bacterium. Its description in RNAcentral is "partial 16S ribosomal RNA". It matches the Rfam family "Bacterial small subunit ribosomal RNA", at positions 29 to 523 of the family's 1533-position model. The record is from RNAcentral.
AGUGAACGCUGGCGGUAGGCCUAACACAUGCAAGUCGAACGGCAGCACAGGAGAGCUUGCUCUCUGGGUGGCGAGUGGCGGACGGGUGAGGAAUACAUCGGAAUCUACUCUGUCGUGGGGGAUAACGUAGGGAAACUUACGCUAAUACCGCAUACGACCUACGGGUGAAAGCAGGGGAUCUUCGGACCUUGCGCGAUUGAAUGAGCCGAUGUCGGAUUAGCUAGUUGGCGGGGUAAAGGCCCACCAAGGCGACGAUCCGUAGCUGGUCUGAGAGGAUGAUCAGCCACACGGGAACUGAGACACGGUCCAGACUCCAACGGGAGGCGGCAGUGGGGAAUAUUGGACAGUGGGCGCAAGCCUGAUCCAGUCAUACCGCGUGGGUGAAGAAGGCCUUCGGGUUGUAAAGCCCUUUUGUUGGGAAAGAAGUCCAGCGGGCUAAUACCCGGUUGGGAUGACGGUACCCAAAGAAUAAGCACCGGCUAACUUCGUGCCAGCCGCCGCCGUAA